This 306-nucleotide signal recognition particle RNA is filed under the name Aotus nancymaae (Ma's night monkey). RNAcentral's name for it is "Metazoan signal recognition particle RNA (ENSANAG00000011812.1)". It matches the Rfam family "Metazoan signal recognition particle RNA". Rfam says of the family: The signal recognition particle (SRP) is a universally conserved ribonucleoprotein. It is involved in the co-translational targeting of proteins to membranes. The record is from RNAcentral. Lineage: Eukaryota; Metazoa; Chordata; Mammalia; Primates; Aotidae.
ACUGAAGACAGUGGUGUGUGCCUGUGGUCCCAGCUACUCAGGAGGCUGACGUGGGAGGAUUGCUUGAGCCCAGGAUUUCUGGGUUAUAUCCUAGAUCAGUGCUAUGCUGAUAAGUGUCCACACUAAGUUCAGCAUCAAUAUGGUGACCUCCCAGGAGUGGGGAACCACCAGGUUGCCUAAGGAGGUGUAAACCGGCCCAUAUUGGAAACAUAGCAGGUCGAAACUUCCGUGCUGAUUAGUAAUGGAAUUGCGCCCGUGAACAGCCGCUGCACUCCAGCCUGGGCAAUAUGGCAAGACCCCACCUCU